Molecule: long non-coding RNA, 653 nt
Filed under: Equus asinus (donkey)
Lineage: Eukaryota; Metazoa; Chordata; Mammalia; Perissodactyla; Equidae
Description: lncRNA (ENSEASG00005038541.1)
Source: RNAcentral
UCCUGGGAACCAGCAUUAUCUCUUUCUAUGAGUUCAACUUUUUUUUUUAGAUUCCACAUAUAAGUGAGAUGAUGCAGUAUUUGUCUUUCUCUGUCUGGCUAAUUUCACUCUGCACAAUGUCCUCUAGAUUCAUCCAUUGUUGCAAAUGGCAGAUAUUGCUUGUACAGCAAUUCCUUCUCUGCUGGAGAUUCUCCUGAGACUUUCAUCAGCUAUAACCAAGGAAGCUGGUGGGGAUGGUCUGUGCUUGAUCCUAAAAAGAGAGGAGAGCAUCUCAUUGCCCAUAAUGCCAAGACAAGCUGCAGAGGGAGUGGGGCUCAAUAAACGCUUGCAGUUGAAUGGAAUUGUAUACUCCUUGUGCUCAUAUCAUCUGCUUCUCUACAACCAAGCCCUGUUCAAUGGGAGUCAAGGUGUCAGGGGUUUCAGAAGCAAUCACUCCUGCUUUGUUCUCCCAAGUAUCUGGAUAUUUCUAUCACAGCAACUCUAGUCAUUGUAUUUCCUGUACUGAUUCACACGUCUGUCUGGACGGGAAAGGAGACCAAUUUAGAAGAACACUUUAUUGAGAAACAAUUUUACUCAAAUUCUUCACUUACAUUUUGACACGUGUCUUCAUCUUCGGGAGAGUCACUUUUUGAGCCAUCUAACAGUUUUCCAAC